AUGGGGCUCGGCGGCGGCGCAGAGUCUCUCGCCACCCAGACAGCGGGGACCUUCGGCAAGGCCUUCUCGUACUGCCUCCCGCCGACUCCGGACUCGUCCGGAUUCCUCACUCUCGGUGCAGCAACCUCGGGUUUCGUAGUGAAGACGCCGAUGCUGAGGAGUAGUGAGGUCCCGUCGUACUACGGCGUGCGCCUUCAGGCCAUCAGGGUGGGAGGCAGGCAGCUCAGCAUACCUGCCUCGGUCUUCUCCGCCGGGUCGAUCAUGGACUCCGGCACAAUCAUCACGCGGCUUCCGGCGACGGCGUACUCUGCGCUGUCGUCGGCGUUCAAGGCCGGCAUGAAGCAGUACCCGCCGGCGCAGCCCAUGGGCAUCUUCGACACGUGCUUCGACUUCAGCGGCCAGUCCAGCGUCAGCAUACCGAGCGUCGCACUGGUGUUCUCCGGGGGCGUCGUCGUCGACCUCGCCACCGACGGGAUCAUUCUGGACAGCUGCCUCGCCUUCGCGGCCAACACCGACGACAGCUCCCUCGGCAUCAUCGGCAACGUGCAGCAGCGGACGAUCGAGGUGCUGUACGACGUCGGCGGCGGCGCCGUGGGGUUCAAGGCUGGCGCAUGCUGA
RNAcentral lists this ribosomal RNA (618 nucleotides) under Triticum aestivum (bread wheat). Its description in RNAcentral is "partial small subunit ribosomal RNA". The record is from RNAcentral. Lineage: Eukaryota; Viridiplantae; Streptophyta; Magnoliopsida; Poales; Poaceae.